RNAcentral lists this long non-coding RNA (381 nucleotides) under Monodelphis domestica (gray short-tailed opossum). RNAcentral's name for it is "lncRNA (ENSMODG00000037192.1)". Lineage: Eukaryota; Metazoa; Chordata; Mammalia; Didelphimorphia; Didelphidae. The record is from RNAcentral.
AUGAGAGCCAGCUGGCAGCUGCGCAGGCAGUACAUCAUUAACCUUGGCCAAGGGCUCCGUUUGACGGAGGUUACAGUUUCAAUCUGGGAAACCAGAUUCAGCUGGAGCAGCCUAGGGAGUGAUGGGCACAGGCAGGCAAGGAACUGCCCAACCAAAUCCACCACCCAUCCUCCCGCUGGUCCAUGGAACCCCAGCAUGGCAGAGAUAGAAGAUGAGAAAGCUAAAGUCCAAAGAAAUGAUGUGACACAAGCAAGAUCAUGCCUAUCCUCCAAGGCAGGGCUGAGAUUGAGCUCAAGAAGUCCAAGAAAUUUCAUUCAUUUAUGCCAGAAGUUCUGCAAUUUAUGUAUCGUGGACUCCUUUGGGCAAUGGAAUGAAACCUAA